This 650-nucleotide ribosomal RNA is filed under the name Agaricus duplocingulatoides. RNAcentral's name for it is "partial large subunit ribosomal RNA". It matches the Rfam family "Eukaryotic large subunit ribosomal RNA", at positions 31 to 664 of the family's 3401-position model. The record is from RNAcentral. Lineage: Eukaryota; Fungi; Basidiomycota; Agaricomycetes; Agaricales; Agaricaceae.
AACUUAAGCAUAUCAAUAAGCGGAGGAAAAGAAACUAACAAGGAUUCCCCUAGUAACUGCAGUGAAGCGGGAAAAGCUCAAAUUUAAAAUCUGGCGGUCUCUGGCCGUCCGAGUUGUAAUCUAGAGAAGUAAUGCCCGUGCUGGACCGUGUAUAAGUCUCCUGGGAUGGGGCGUCAUAGAGGGUGAGAAUCCCGUCUUUGACACGGACUACCAGUGCAUUGUGGUAUGCUCUCAAAGAGUCGAGUUGUUUGGGAAUGCAGCUCAAAAUGGGUGGUAAAUUCCAUCUAAAGCUAAAUAUUGGCGAGAGACCGAUAGCGAACAAGUACCGUGAGGGAAAGAUGAAAAGAACUUUGGAAAGAGAGUUAAACAGUACGUGAAAUUGCUGAAAGGGAAACGCUUGAAGUCAGCCGCGUUGGCCAGGGAUCAGCCUUGCUCUUGCAUGGUGUACUUUCUGGUUGACGGGUCAGCAUCAAUUUUGACCGCUGGAAAAGGUCCUGGGGAAUGUGGCAGCUCCGGCUGUGUUAUAGCCCCUGGUCGCAUACAGUGGUUGGGAUUGAGGAACUCAGCACGCCGCAAGGCCGGGUUUCGACCACGUCCGUGCUUAGGAUGCUGGCAUAAUGGCUUUAAGCGACCCGUCUUGAAACACGGAA